This is a long non-coding RNA of Eleginops maclovinus (Patagonian blennie), 3434 nucleotides long. RefSeq lists it as uncharacterized. The transcript is spliced from 3 exons. The record is from RefSeq and is a predicted model, not a curated record. Lineage: Eukaryota; Metazoa; Chordata; Actinopteri; Perciformes; Eleginopidae.
UGAAAACAAUAAGAGGAGAGUUAGUGAGAGCUAACCACUAGCUAAGAGCUAACUAUUAACUGAGCUAACCGCUAACUGACAGCUAACUGCUAUCUGAGAGCUAACUAUGAACUGAGAGCUAGCUGAGAGCUAACUGUUAACUGAGAGCUAACUGCUAACUGAGCGCUAACUGCUAACUGAGAGCUAACUAUUAACUGAGAGCUAACUAAGAGAUAACUGCUAACUGAGAGCUAACUAUUAACUGAGAGCUAACUGAGAGCUAACUAUUAACUGAGAGCUAACUGAGAGCUAACUGCUAACUGAGAGCUAACUAUUAACUGAGAGCUAACUGAGAGCUAACUGCUAACUGAGAGCUAACUAUUAACUGAGAGCUAACUGAGAGCUAACUGCUAACUGUUAACUGAGAGCUAACUAUUAACUGAGAGCUAACUGCUAACUGAGAGCUAACUAUUAACUGAGAGCUAACUGAGAGCUAACUGCUAACUGUUAACUGAGAGCUAACUAUUAACUGAGAGCUAACUGCUAACUGAGAGCUAACUAUUAACUGAGAGCUAACUGCUAACUGAGAGCUAACUAUUAACUGAGAGCUAACUGAGAGCUAACUGCUAACUGUUAACUGAGAGAUAACUAUUAACUGAGAGCUAACUGCUAACUGAGAGCUAACUAUUAACUGAGAGCUAACUGAGCUAACUGUUAACUGAGAGCUAACUAUUAACUGAGAGCUAACUGCUAACUGAGAGCUACCUGAGAGCUAACUGCUAACUGUUAACUGAGAGCUAACUGUGAUUGUGUGUGUGUGUGUUUGUGUGUACCUGUGUCGAGAGCUCCUGGUUUUGUUCUGGUAGAGAGUUUCCCCAUGAGUGUUGAGCAGCGGGAGGCGAAUCACAGCCUCGUCUGAGAGGUAAAGAUUAUUUUGUAAUAAAUAAUAAAACUUUAAAUAAAAGGUUGCUAUGCUAAUUACAUUUUUGGGUAAGUGUUACCGUUAUCCAGUCCUGUAGAGCCUGACGUGGAGCUGCUUUCUGACCUCACUGUGUCAUCUUGACACAAACACACACACACAAUCAUAAUUUCAGAAUAAUGGCAGGAAGAUACAGGUUUCCAGAAACAAUGAUUUCUAAUUUCCUGCUAGCUGUGUGUGUGUGUGUGUGUGUGUGUGUGUGUGUGUGUGUGUGUGUGUGUGUGUGUACCUGUGUGGCAGCCUCUGUGUACUGUCCUCUUCCCGUGGUGUGUGUUGUCGGACUCGCUGUGUUUCCUCAGUGCUGCACUGAAUAAAGUCUUCUUCAGUUUGGAGCGCUGAGAGUUUUCCUCCUGAAACACACACAGGCCUUCAGUUUGAGGUCACACGACUCACCUCGGAUCGAGCCUUCCUGUUUCCCUGGCGAGACACCCCCCCCCUCCUCCGGACACAGGGGGGUCUCUCCCCCGCCUGCAGGGGGAAAUCUCUGGGCACGGCACCUGUCAGCUCCUGACCAAUGAGAGCGCAAAAAACACCUUUACCAUCAUGUCCAUCAGUCUGAGUCUCCUGCAGCUUCAGGCUCUGACUCACCGCCUCCUGCAGACAGAUGCAUCUCAGCUCGGCCAAUCGUGAGCCCAGCAGCGCCUGUAGGCUCCGCCUCCUCUCAUGCAGCUCCGCCAUUCGCUGCCGCUGCUUCCUGUCCGCACAGAACAACGUGAACAGCUGUUUGAGUCAUCAAUGACCUCACCUGGUGACCGGGUUCAUAAGCGCUCUAACAGUUCACAGCUGUUAGCUGCUAACUGUUAGCUGCUAGCUGCAGUUCCCCGGCUGGCCUGCAGAGGGAGUUUACCGUCUUCAAAACCUCUGACCUGAUGAGAACAACAGAAGAGAAGAGGAAGACCAAUCAGAAGACAGGAACACAGAGGCCUCAUCAGCUGAUCACUGGUUCAUCAACAGAAGGGAAAACUGUCAGGGACUACUUUCAGCAGCGGAUUAAUCCACAUCUGGUGCUCUGAGUGUUGCUGUCAGCAGGAUGGUGUGUGAAGGAGAUGAUGAAGAGAAAGUAUGAAGCUCUGUGAAGAGUUUAAAAAACACACUCAGUACUCACACACACACUGUGAGCUGAUGUGUGUGUGAGAAAUAUUUUCUGAAUCCUGUGGAGGCCAAACUGCAGGGAAGUGAGAUUCAUCCUCUCUGACUGAUUUCUGAUCCUCUGAAGAAUGCAGAACCAGUACAGACAGGCCUGACACACACACACACACACACACACACACACAGUCUUAUCCGUGGUCUGCCUGUCUGCAGCUCAGACAGUCAACAGGUGAGAUGCUGCUCUCUCAUUGGCUGCUGUAAUAUUUUAAGUGAAAUAAUAAACACAGAUAAAACAGGAAGUGACAUCAUGAGGCGAUGAAAAGUUAGAUACGAAGUUUUCAUCCUGAUUAGGUGUUUGUUUGUGUGUGUGUGUGUGAAGUUUAGUUUCUGACUGAGAGAACGACCCUGAGAAUAGGAAGUGAGCCCAGCAGGAGACAGGAAGAAGGAAACGAGCAAAAAAAAGGAAAGUUGGUUCCCACACACACACACACACACACACACACACACACACACACGAAUAGUUAAACCCUGUAUUGUCUUUAGCUUUCAGCACCUGCAGUGUGUGUGUGUGUGUGUGAGAGAGAGUUUUGGAUAUUGCUUGUAUCUUAUCUCUGCAGUCAGAGGACAGGGAGUCAUGAAGACCUUUCAUAUAUCCCAUAAUGAUAUUACAGGUGUCCCUCUGUUGAACACAGAGCUGUCCUCUGUCUCUGUCCUAUGUCUCUGUCCUGUCUCUGUCUCUGUCUUCUGUCCUCUGUUUCUGUCCUCUUUCUCUGUUUCUGUCCUCUGUCCUGUCUCUGUCCUCUGUCUCUGUCCUCUGUCCUAUGUCUCUGUCCUCUGUUUCUGUCUUCAGUCUCUGUCCUCUGUCCUGUCUCUGUCCUCUUUCUCUGUCCUCUGUCUCUGUCCUCUGUCCUGUCUCUGUCCUCUGUCUCUGUCCUCAGUCUCUGUCCUGUCUCUGUCCUCUUUCUCUGUUUCUGUCCUCUGUCCUGUCUCUGUCCUCUGUCUCUGUCUUCUGUCCUCUGUCUCUGUCCUCGGUCUCUGUCCUCUGCAGAGGGUUUAAUAACGAGUCUGUGCUCACUGAUCCGGAGUCAGUUUGAUAAAUAAAGAACUCGUGUUUAACUGAUUUUUUAGUUUUUGAAUAUCGAACUGAGCCUGAGCUGUCAACAGGGCCGGAUUUAAACCUGCAGGGAAAUCAAACACAUUAAUAAUUGAUAAAGUAAAAUAUAUGUUCUAUAGACACAGUGAGCAGCUCGGGUUAAAUACCUGCAGAGAAGAGCCGGAGGCAAGCAGGGUUAACCCGGGAUAAAGUGAGGAUAAACCCGGGAUAAACCCGGGAUAAAGUGAGGAUGAAGUGAGGAUGAACCCGGGAUAAAGUGAGGAUAAACCCGGG